Numida meleagris (helmeted guineafowl) is the source of this 762-nucleotide long non-coding RNA. RefSeq lists it as uncharacterized. NCBI's taxonomy places the organism in Eukaryota, Metazoa, Chordata, Aves, Galliformes, Numididae. The record is from RefSeq and is a predicted model, not a curated record. The transcript is spliced from 3 exons.
CAAAACAGUAAUAAUAAACGCAAAAAGAUGCCAGACUGGCUCAGUCUGCACCCUGGUGUAACCACAGUCCGUGUCUUAAUUAGAGGUGUAUGAAGCAAGGCCGUGUGCUGUGGAACAGAGAGGUGGAGCAAUCAGCUUAAGCUGGAGAAUGGUUGAGCUGCUCUUAGCAAGGAUCAGAGUGCUGAACUGCAAGAGAGAGAAAAAAAAGUCUGCUUUCAGUAAGUGUCAGAAUGCCAGUCAUGAGCUAUGGACUUGGUGGCAGAGGCAGAAAUUCCAAGGCUAAGCCAGUUCUGAAGAGACUCCGGAAUACCAAAAGGCUGCUGCAUUCGUGCUGGAUGGUUGUGCAAAGAACUGGCUGUUCACAUCGCAGAAACCACGGAAAAGAAGAAAGGUGUUGUGAAAUGGUUAGAGUCAGGACUAUAACUUUAAACACUUUAUAGAAAAAUAGUUACCGAGAAGUAAAAGGCAAAGAAAAGAACACAAACCUCUACCCUUUGACCUUAUUCAGCUCUAGAUCAACCUCUUUAUGAAGUUUUUCAUUUAACUUUCAUUUAAGAGAUGAAUGAGGAGUAUUCUCUUCCAUGCCGUAUGCAGAGGAGACAUGGACAUGAGUCUGUCCACCACAACACACUCUGGUGCUAGCAGGGAGUCCAGUGCUGGAUAACACCUUUGCAAAUAAGUCUGACUGCAUCAAGGCAUGUUGCUCUACUUGGGAACUGGUGUGCUUCUGUUCCAUUCUGAUGCUUUUCCACUGAAUUCCAU